RNAcentral lists this ribosomal RNA (465 nucleotides) under Vreelandella stevensii. RNAcentral describes it as "partial 16S ribosomal RNA". It matches the Rfam family "Bacterial small subunit ribosomal RNA", at positions 338 to 795 of the family's 1533-position model. Lineage: Bacteria; Pseudomonadati; Pseudomonadota; Gammaproteobacteria; Oceanospirillales; Halomonadaceae. The record is from RNAcentral.
CCUACGGGAGGCUGCAGUGGGGAAUAUUGGACAAUUGGGGGAACCCUGAUCCAGCCAUGCCGCGUGUGUGAAGAAGGCCCUCGGGUUGUAAAGCACUUUCAGUGAGGAAGAACGCCUGGUGGUUAAUACCCAUCAGGAAAGACAUCACUCACAGAAGAAGCACCGGCUAACUCCGUGCCAGCAGCCGCGGUAAUACGGAGGGUGCGAGCGUUAAUCGGAAUUACUGGGCGUAAAGCGCGCGUAGGUGGCUUGAUAAGCCGGUUGUGAAAGCCCCGGGCUCAACCUGGGAACGGCAUCCGGAACUGUCAAGCUAGAGUGCAGGAGAGGAAGGUAGAAUUCCCGGUGUAGCGGUGAAAUGCGUAGAGAUCGGGAGGAAUACCAGUGGCGAAGGCGGCCUUCUGGACUGACACUGACACUGAGGUGCGAAAGCGUGGGUAGCAAACAGGAUUAGAUACCCUUGUAGUC